ACUCCUGCGGGAGGCAGCAGUGGGGAAUAUUGCACAAUGGGCGCAAGCCUGAUGCAGCCAUGCCGCGUGUAUGAAGAAGGCCUUCGGGUUGUAAAGUACUUUCAGCGGGGAGGAAGGCGAUAAGGUUAAUAACCUUGUCGAUUGACGUUACCCGCAGAAGAAGCACCGGCUACCUCCGUGCCAGCAGCCGCGGUAAUACGGAGGGUGCAAGCGUUAAGCGGAAUUACUGGGCGUAAAGCGCACGCAGGCGGUCUGUCAAGUCGGAUGUGAAAUCCCCGGGCUCAACCUGGGAACUGCAUUCGAAACUGGCAGGCUAGAGUCUUGUAGAGGGGGGUAGAAUUCCAGGUGUAGCGGUGAAAUGCGUAGAGAUCUGGAGGAAUACCGGUGGCGAAGGCGGCCCCCUGGACAAAGACUGACGCUCAGGUGCGAAAGCGUGGGGAGCAAACAGGAUUAGAAACCCUAGUAGUCCCAUG
Molecule: ribosomal RNA, 473 nt
Filed under: uncultured organism
Description: partial 16S ribosomal RNA
Rfam family: Bacterial small subunit ribosomal RNA
Source: RNAcentral